UUUCCAGAUGAUGAUCCCAAGCCUUCUGGCGAUCUGUUUGCACAAGCCUCUGAGAGGGAUGAAGAUAUUGUUUUCUUUGAUCAGAUUAUGCCGGUAAAGGUUUUCUGGUUUACCCUAUAGGGCUUGUAGCUCAGUUGGUUAGAGCGCGCGCUUGAUAAGCGUGAGGUCGGAGGUUCAAGUCCUCCCAGGCCCACCAGUUACACGAUGCUAAAAGUUGCUAUAUUGGGAGAGUUGAUAAUCCCUUACAGGAAAUUAUUGCCCUUAAUAAAACUUUAUUUUCUAAAAGCAUUCAGAGCUGACAUAGAAUAGAGCUGACAUAGAAUUGAGAAUCUGACAUAGGAAUUAUUGAAAUUGUUUUGGAAUUAUUGAAAUUGUUUUCUAUCAUUUUAAAAGGCUAAAAUAUUCUGUCUCUAUUUUUAAAAUAGCAUCAGGUGUUUUGUAAGAGUGUGAAGUUUUUAAGUGUGAGGUUUUUUAUAUUUUAGUGUGAGGUUUUUAUAAGGGUAUGACGUGAGAGCGUUUUGACCUGUUUUAGGGGCCGUAGCUCAGCUGGGAGAGCACCUGCUUUGCAAGCAGGGGGUCGUCGGUUCGAUCCCGUCCGGCUCCACCAUAAUUUGGUUCAUCAUUAUUGUUAGAAGAAUAGUUAUUGCAAGAGAUUGAGAGAUCUCUUUGCUUGUUCUAUUGAAAUUGUGAAGAAGAAGAUAUAUUUCAGACAUGUUA
RNAcentral lists this transfer RNA (717 nucleotides) under Bartonella clarridgeiae. RNAcentral's name for it is "partial 16S-23S ribosomal RNA intergenic spacer". The stretch from base 120 to 193 matches the Rfam family "tRNA". The record is from RNAcentral. Lineage: Bacteria; Pseudomonadati; Pseudomonadota; Alphaproteobacteria; Hyphomicrobiales; Bartonellaceae.